GAUUAAGUGGCUGAAAUUUAGGCGAUAGAUUGUAAAUCUAUAUAUAAGAGUUAUUCUCUUCUUAAUCA
RNAcentral lists this transfer RNA (68 nucleotides) under Drosophila mercatorum. RNAcentral's name for it is "tRNA-Tyr". It matches the Rfam family "tRNA". Rfam says of the family: Transfer RNA (tRNA) molecules are approximately 80 nucleotides in length. Their secondary structure includes four short double-helical elements and three loops (D, anti-codon, and T loops). The record is from RNAcentral. Lineage: Eukaryota; Metazoa; Arthropoda; Insecta; Diptera; Drosophilidae.